GGGGAAUCUUGCGCAAUGGGCGAAAGCCUGACGCAGCGACGCCGCGUGGGGGAGGAAGCCCUUCGGGGUGUAAACCUCUGUCAGGAGGGAAGAAUGGGCAGGGGAGGAAAUGCCCCUGUUUUGACGGUACCUCCAAAGGAAGCACCGGCUAACUCUGUGCCAGCAGCCGCGGUAAUACAGAGGGUGCGAGCGUUGUUCGGAAUUACUGGGCGUAAAGCGCGCGCAGGCGGUCCUUUAAGUCUACCCGUGAAAUGCCGGAGCUCAACUCCGUGCACGCCGGGGGAUACUGGAGGACUGGAGACGAGUAGAGGCAAGCGGAAUUCCGGGUGUAGCGGUGGAAUGCGUAGAGAUCCGGAAGAACACCGGAGGCGAAGGCGGCUUGCUGGGCUUGGUCUGACGCUGAGGCGCGAAAGCGUGGGGAGCAAA
Molecule: ribosomal RNA, 426 nt
Filed under: uncultured bacterium
Lineage: Bacteria
Description: bacterial SSU rRNA
Rfam family: Bacterial small subunit ribosomal RNA
Source: RNAcentral